ACCUCCCCCAAUAGCUAGCCCACCUCAAAAUACAACAACCCACAUUAAUAACCCCGAACACAACAACAUCCUCAAAACAAACCAUUUUUCCGCCUAAGUAUCGGAGAUAGAAAAGGACCCCGGAGCCAUAGAAAAAGUACCGUAAGGGAAAGCUGAAAGAGAAAUGAAAAAACUCAGUUAAGGGCAAAGAAGCAGAGAUUAGACCUCGUACCUUUUGCAUCAUGACUUAGCAAGAACCCUUCAAGCAAAAUGCUUUUUAGUUUGAAACCCCGAAACUAGACGAGCUACUCCGAGGCAGCCUAAUUAUAGGGCGAACCCGUCUCUGUGGCAAAAGAGUGGGAAGACCUCCGAGUAGUGGUGACAGACCUACCGAGCCUAGUGAUAGCUGGUUGCCUGGAAAAUGAAUAGAAGUUCAGCCCUUUACAAGUCUUAAUUCCACCCCUGACCCGAUCAAUCAAAGAUAAGAAGACACCCUAAAGGAGUUAUUCAAGAGGGGAACAGCUCUCUUGAAGAAAGACACAACUUUAACAGAAGGCCAAAGAUCAAAAGACAAAAACCAAAGUACCCGAGUGGGCCUAAGAGCAGCCAUCCCAGAGAAAAGCGUUAAAGCUCAAGUACUUAAACCACUAAAUCCCGACAAAAUAUCUUAAGCCUCUCCUGCCGAACCAGGCCCCUCCAUGCCCCCAUGGAAAAGAUACUGCUAAUAUGAGUAAUAAGAGAGCUCAGCCUCUCUCCCCCGCACCUGUGUAAAUCAGAACGAACCCGCACUGACAAUUAUACGCCCCCACUUACUGAGGGAAUUGAAAUAAAACCCCUAAAACUAGAAAACCUCUCAAAACCAAGCGUUAACCCCACACAGGAGUGAGCAAGGAAAGACAAAAAGGAAGAGAAGGAACUCGGCAAACACUAGCCUCGCCUGUUUACCAAAAACAUCGCCUCUUGCCCAUCAAGUAUAAGAGGUCCCGCCUGCCCAGUGACAAUAGUUCAACGGCCGCGGUAUUUUUAACCGUGCGAAGGUAGCGUAAUCACUUGUUUCCUAAAUAGAGACCUGUAUGAAUGGCAUAACGAGGGCUAAGCUGUCUCCUCUUUCUGGUCAAUGAAAUUGAUCUGCCCGUGCAGAAGCGGGCAUGAACACAUAAGACGAGAAGACCCUGUGGAGCUUCAGACGCGAAAGCAGACCACGUUAAGAAAAUUAAUUGACUAAUAAUGAACUUAUGGCCACUGCUUUCCUGUCUUUGGUUGGGGCGACCAAGGGGAAAUAUGAAACCCCCAUGCGGAAAGGACCACACCUCCUAAGACAAGGCCCACAGGCCUAACAAGCAGAAUAUCUGUCCAACAGAGAUCCGGCCAACGCCGAUCAACGGACCGAGUUACCCCAGGGAUAACAGCGCAAUCCCCUUCUAGAGCCCAUAUCGACAAGGGGGUUUACGACCUCGAUGUUGGAUCAGGACUUCCUAAUGGCGCAGCCGCUAUUAAGGGUUCGUUUGUUCAACGAUUAAAGUCCUACGUGAUCUGAGUUCAGACCGGAGAAAUCCAGGUCGGUUUCUAUCUAUGACUCCUCCCUUUUCUAGUACGAAAGGACCGAAAAGGGGGGGCCCCUGCCCAAGGCAAGCCCCUCCCCAAACCCAUGACCCCCACUCAAGGGGGAAACGGGAGGAACACCUGCCCCGAGAAACAGGGCUA
Molecule: ribosomal RNA, 1683 nt
Filed under: Bathygobius coalitus (whitespotted frillgoby)
Lineage: Eukaryota; Metazoa; Chordata; Actinopteri; Gobiiformes; Gobiidae
Description: 16S ribosomal RNA
Rfam family: Bacterial large subunit ribosomal RNA
Source: RNAcentral